CAGUCGCCACGGUAAUACGUAGGGUGCGAGCGUUAAUCGGAAUUACUGGGCGUAAAGCGUGCGCAGGCGGUUUUGUAAGACAGGCGUGAAAUCCCCGGGCUCAACCUGGGAAUGGCGCUUGUGACUGCAAAGCUAGAGUGCGGCAGAGGGGGAUGGAAUUCCGCGUGUAGCAGUGAAAUGCGUAGAUAUGCGGAGGAACACCGAUGGCGAAGGCAAUCCCCUGGGCCUGCACUGACGCUCAUGCACGGAAGCGUGGGGAGCAACCAGGAUUAGAUACCCCUGUAGUCCCUGUCUCUUAUAC
This 301-nucleotide ribosomal RNA is filed under the name uncultured bacterium. Its description in RNAcentral is "partial 16S ribosomal RNA". It matches the Rfam family "Bacterial small subunit ribosomal RNA", at positions 509 to 807 of the family's 1533-position model. The record is from RNAcentral.